Molecule: ribosomal RNA, 406 nt
Filed under: uncultured bacterium
Lineage: Bacteria
Description: partial 16S ribosomal RNA
Rfam family: Bacterial small subunit ribosomal RNA
Source: RNAcentral
GAUGAACGCUAGCUACAGGCUUAACACAUGCAAGUCGAGCGACCGGCGCACGGUUGAGUAACACGUAUCCAACCUGCCCUUUACUCGGGGAUAGCCUUUCGAAAGAACGAUUAAUACCCGAUAUAAAGGAUGGGGAUGCGUUCCAUUAGGUUGUUGGUGAGGUAACGGCUCACAAAGCCUUCGAUGGAUAGGGGUUCUGAGAGGAAGGUACCCCACAUUGGAAAUGCGACACGGUCCAAACUCGGACGGGGUGCAGCAGUGAGGAAGAUUGGUCAAGGGGCGCUAGCCUGAAACAGCCAAGUAGCGUGAAGAAUGAAGGCUUAUGGGACGUAAACUUCUUGUAAAUAAGAAUAUGUAUUAUAUGAAUAAGGAUCGGCUAACUCCGGGCCAGCAGCCGCGGUAAUUC